This 468-nucleotide ribosomal RNA is filed under the name uncultured bacterium. Its description in RNAcentral is "partial 16S ribosomal RNA". It matches the Rfam family "Bacterial small subunit ribosomal RNA", at positions 28 to 507 of the family's 1533-position model. The record is from RNAcentral.
GACGAACGCUGGCGGCGUGCUUAACACAUGCAAGUCGAACGGAAAGGCCCUGCUUUUGUGGGGUGCUCGAGUGGCGAACGGGUGAGUAACACGUGAGUAACCUGCCCUUGAUUUUGGGAUAACUUCAGGAAACUGGGGCUAAUACCGGAUAGGAUCUCCUGUUGCAUGGUGGGGGUUGGAAAGUCUCGGCGGUUGGGGAUGGACUCGCGGCUUAUCAGCUUGCUGGUGGGGUAGUGGCUUACCAAGGCUUUGACGGGUACCCGGCCUGGGAGGGUGGCCGGCCACAUUGGGACUGAGAUACGGCCCAGACUCCUACAGGAGGCAGCAGUGGGAAAUAUGGCACAAUGGGCGGGAGCCGGAUGCAGCAACGCCGCGUGCGGGAUGACGGCCUUCGGGUUGUAAACCGCUUUCGCCUGUGACGAAGCGUGAGUGACGGUAAUGGAUAAAGAAGCACCGGCUAACUACGUG